Molecule: ribosomal RNA, 1461 nt
Filed under: uncultured organism
Description: SSU rRNA
Rfam family: Bacterial small subunit ribosomal RNA
Source: RNAcentral
CGCUGGCGGCGUGCCUAAUACAUGCAAGUCGAGCGAACAGACGAGGAGCUUGCUCCUUUGACGUUAGCGGCGGACGGGUAAGUAACACGUGGAUAACCUACCUAUAAGACUGGGAUAACUUCGGGAAACCGGAGCUAAUACCGGAUAACAUGUUGAACCGCAUGGUUCAACAGUGAAAGACGGUCUUGCUGUCACUUAUAGAUGGAUCCGCGCCGCAUUAGCUAGUUGGUAAGGUAACGGCUUACCAAGGCAACGAUGCGUAGCCGACCUGAGAGGGUGAUCGGCCACACUGGAACUGAGACACGGUCCAGACUCCUACGGGAGGCAGCAGUAGGGAAUCUUCCGCAAUGGGCGAAAGCCUGACGGAGCAACGCCGCGUGAGUGAAGAAGGUCUUCGGAUCGUAAAACUCUGUUAUUAGGGAAGAACAAAUGUGUAAGUAACUAUGCACGUCUUGACGGUACCUAAUCAGAAAGCCACGGCUAACUACGUGCCAGCAGCCGCGGUAAUACGUAGGUGGCAAGCGUUAUCCGGAAUUAUUGGGCGUAAAGCGCGCGUAGGCGGUUUUUUAAGUCUGAUGUGAAAGCCCACGGCUCAACCGUGGAGGGUCAUUGGAAACUGGAAAACUUGAGUGCAGAAGAGGAAAGUGGAAUUCCAUGUGUAGCGGUGAAAUGCGCAGAGAUAUGGAGGAACACCAGUGGCGAAGGCGACUUUCUGGUCUGUAACUGACGCUGAUGUGCGAAAGCGUGGGGAUCAAACAGGAUUAGAUACCCUGGUAGUCCACGCCGUAAACGAUGAGUGCUAAGUGUUAGGGGGUUUCCGCCCCUUAGUGCUGCAGCUAACGCAUUAAGCACUCCGCCUGGGGAGUACGACCGCAAGGUUGAAACUCAAAGGAAUUGACGGGGACCCGCACAAGCGGUGGAGCAUGUGGUUUAAUUCGAAGCAACGCGAAGAACCUUACCAAAUCUUGACAUCCUCUGACCCCUCUAGAGAUAGAGUUUUCCCCUUCGGGGGACAGAGUGACAGGUGGUGCAUGGUUGUCGUCAGCUCGUGUCGUGAGAUGUUGGGUUAAGUCCCGCAACGAGCGCAACCCUUAAGCUUAGUUGCCAUCAUUAAGUUGGGCACUCUAAGUUGACUGCCGGUGACAAACCGGAGGAAGGUGGGGAUGACGUCAAAUCAUCAUGCCCCUUAUGAUUUGGGCUACACACGUGCUACAAUGGACAAUACAAAGGGUAGCGAAACCGCGAGGUCAAGCAAAUCCCAUAAAGUUGUUCUCAGUUCGGAUUGUAGUCUGCAACUCGACUACAUGAAGCUGGAAUCGCUAGUAAUCGUGGAUCAGCAUGCUACGGUGAAUACGUUCCCGGGUCUUGUACACACCGCCCGUCACACCACGAGAGUUUGUAACACCCGAAGCCGGUGGAGUAACCUUUUGGAGCUAGCCGUCGAAGGUGGGACAAAUGAUU